Regulatory RNA element from Firmicutes bacterium CAG:103, 128 nucleotides. It matches the Rfam family "Ribosomal protein L10 leader". From Rfam's summary of the family: This family is a putative r-protein leader autoregulatory structure found in B. subtilis and other low-GC Gram-positive bacteria. The record is from Rfam. NCBI's taxonomy places the organism in Bacteria, Bacillati, Bacillota.
GUAUUCUAUUGUAGCGCUCCAAAGACAGCAGGUGGCUUGACCGCGGAAAUCCUGCCGAGGAUGCAUCCAUUAUGAUGUUUCUUUUUCUGUUUCCGGGGCUUUGGCCGCGGAAAUUUUUUUGGGCGUGU